CAUAGGUUAAUGAGGCGAACCGGGGGAACUGAAACAUCUAAGUACCCCGAGGAAAAGAAAUCAACCGAGAUUCCCCCAGUAGCGGCGAGCGAACGGGGAGGAGCCCAGAGCCUGAAUCAGUGUGUGUGUUAGUGGAAGCGUCUGGAAAGGCGCGCGAUACAGGGUGACAGCCCCGUACACAAAAAUGCACAUAUUGUGAGCUCGAUGAGUAGGGCGGGACACGUGGUAUCCUGUCUGAAUAUGGGGGGACCAUCCUCCAAGGCUAAAUACUCCUGACUGACCGAUAGUGAACCAGUACCGUGAGGGAAAGGCGAAAAGAACCCCGGCGAGGGGAGUGAAAAAGAACCUGAAACCGUGUACGUACAAGCAGUGGGAGCCUCUUAAUGGGGUGACUGCGUACCUUUUGUAUAAUGGGUCAGCGACUUAUAUUCUGUAGCAAGGUUAACCGAAUAGGGGAGCCGAAGGGAAACCGAGUCUUAACUGGGCGUUAAGUUGCAGGGUAUAGACCCGAAACCCGGUGAUCUAGCCAUGGGCAGGUUGAAGGUUGGGUAACACUAACUGGAGGACCGAACCGACUAAUGUUGAAAAAUUAGCGGAUGACUUGUGGCUGGGGG
RNAcentral lists this ribosomal RNA (614 nucleotides) under Escherichia coli O25b:H4-ST131. RNAcentral describes it as "partial 23S ribosomal RNA". It matches the Rfam family "Bacterial large subunit ribosomal RNA", at positions 165 to 821 of the family's 2925-position model. The record is from RNAcentral. Lineage: Bacteria; Pseudomonadati; Pseudomonadota; Gammaproteobacteria; Enterobacterales; Enterobacteriaceae.